GAUGAACGCUAGCUACAGGCUUAACACAUGCAAGUCGAGGGGCAGCAUGGUCUUAGCUUGCUAAGGCCGAUGGCGACCGGCGCACGGGUGAGUAACACGUAUCCAACCUGCCGUCUACUCUUGGACAGCCUUCUGAAAGGAAGAUUAAUACAAGAUGGCAUCAUGAGUCCGCAUGUUCACAUGAUUAAAGGUAUUCCGGUAGACGAUGGGGAUGCGUUCCAUUAGAUAGUAGGCGGGGUAACGGCCCACCUAGUCUUCGAUGGAUAGGGGUUCUGAGAGGAAGGUCCCCCACAUUGGAACUGAGACACGGUCCAAACUCCUACGGGAGGCAGCAGUGAGGAAUAUUGGUCAAUGGGCGAGAGCCUGAACCAGCCAAGUAGCGUGAAGGAUGACUGCCCUAUGGGUUGUAAACUUCUUUUAUAAAGGAAUAAAGUCGGGUAUGGAUACCCGUUUGCAUGUACUUUAUGAAUAAGGAUCGGCUAACUCCGUGCCAGCAGCCGCGGUAAUACGGAGGAUCCGAGCGUUAUCCGGAUUUAUUGGGUUUAAAGGGAGCGUAGAUGGAUGUUUAAGUCAGUUGUGAAAGUUUGCGGCUCAACCGUAAAAUUGCAGUUGAUACUGGAUAUCUUGAGUGCAGUUGAGGCAGGCGGAAUUCGUGGUGUAGCGGUGAAAUGCUUAGAUAUCACGAAGAACUCCGAUUGCGAAGGCAGCCUGCUAAGCUGC
RNAcentral lists this ribosomal RNA (720 nucleotides) under uncultured Bacteroidales bacterium. Its description in RNAcentral is "bacterial SSU rRNA". It matches the Rfam family "Bacterial small subunit ribosomal RNA", at positions 28 to 737 of the family's 1533-position model. The record is from RNAcentral. Lineage: Bacteria; Pseudomonadati; Bacteroidota; Bacteroidia; Bacteroidales.